Molecule: long non-coding RNA, 631 nt
Filed under: Phascolarctos cinereus (koala)
Lineage: Eukaryota; Metazoa; Chordata; Mammalia; Diprotodontia; Phascolarctidae
Description: lncRNA (ENSPCIG00000012432.2)
Source: RNAcentral
CACUAAACUGGGACAUGUCAUCCUUUGGUGAAGCAGUACUACUAUUAAGCUUUUAAACAGAGACUGAAGGAAAAGGAAAAGGACACAUGGAAAAAAUUUCAAUAAGAGCUCUGCUUUGUGGUGUCUAAGAACUGGAAACUAAGACGCUUUCCACCUUCCGGGAUUUCCUGAACAAAUGAUGCUUUAUGAAUAUGAUGGAAUACUAGUGUGCUAGAAGAUGUGAUGAACGAGAUGGUGUCAGGGAAAUCUAGGACGACUUUGAGCUGUUGCAGUUGAGCAGAACUGGAACACUUUCUACAGUAACACUGUGAAGACAACUUGAAUAGGCUUGGGCAUCCUAAUGAAAACAAUGAGCAAAAAUGAUUCCAGAGAGAUCGUGAUGAAACAUGUGGCUUCCCUCCAGACAGAAAGGCAAUGGACUGAAGGAGUACACUGAGCUACAUUUUUAAACAUGUUCAAUGUGUGUGCACCUUGUUUACCAAAUUGGAUGCCUGUGCCUGGAAGAAGGACCAAUCUUAGUGAGGAUGACAUGUCCAAAACUGAACCUAUGACAGCUGGUGGCUCAGUUCACCAGUUCCCAUUAGAAAUGUACUGUAUGGGGAAAACAAAUGUUUUUCCCACCUACAAGUAA